UGGGGAAUAUUGGACAAUGGGCGAAAGCCUGAUCCAGCAAUGCCGCGUGUGUGAAGAAGGCCUUCGGGUUGUAAAGCACUUUCGGUGGGGAGGAUGUUAACUUUAUUUAAUAGAUAAGGUUGAUGACGUUACCCACAGAAGAAGCACCGGCUAACUCUGUGCCAGCAGCCGCGGUAAUACAGAGGGUGCAAGCGUUAAUCGGAAUUACUGGGCGUAAAGGGUGAGUAGGUGGUAAAUUAAGUUAUGUGUGAAAUUUUUGAGCUUAACUUGAAGACUGCACAUAAUACUGAAUUACUAGAGUACUGUAGAGGGUGGUGGAAUUUCCGGUGUAGCGGUGAAAUGCGUAGAUAUCGGAAGGAACACCAGUGGCGAAGGCGACCACCUGGACAGAUACUGACACUAAUACACGAAAGCGUGGGUAGCGAACAGG
This 430-nucleotide ribosomal RNA is filed under the name uncultured bacterium. RNAcentral's name for it is "bacterial SSU rRNA". It matches the Rfam family "Bacterial small subunit ribosomal RNA", at positions 355 to 776 of the family's 1533-position model. The record is from RNAcentral.